ACGAACGCUGGCGGCGUGCUUAACACAUGCAAGUCGAACGGAAAGGCCCUGCUUGCAGGGUACUCGAGUGGCGAACGGGUGAGUAACACGUGGGUGAUCUGCCCUGCACUUCGGGAUAAGCCUGGGAAACUGGGUCUAAUACCGGAUAGGAGCCAUUUUUAGUGUGAUGGUUGGAAAGUUUUUUCGGUGUAGGAUGAGCUCGCGGCCUAUCAGCUUGUUGGUGGGGUAAUGGCCUACCAAGGCGGCGACGGGUAGCCGGCCUGAGAGGGUGGACGGCCACAUUGGGACUGAGAUACGGCCCAGACUCCUACGGGAGGCAGCAGUGGGGAAUAUUGCACAAUGGGCGCAAGCCUGAUGCAGCGACGCCGCGUGGGGGAUGACGGCCUUCGGGUUGUAAACUCCUUUCGCUAGGGACGAAGCCUUUUGUGACGGUACCUAGAGAAGAAGCACCGGCUAACUACGUG
RNAcentral lists this ribosomal RNA (464 nucleotides) under uncultured bacterium. RNAcentral describes it as "partial 16S ribosomal RNA". It matches the Rfam family "Bacterial small subunit ribosomal RNA", at positions 29 to 507 of the family's 1533-position model. The record is from RNAcentral.